RNAcentral lists this ribosomal RNA (253 nucleotides) under uncultured bacterium. RNAcentral's name for it is "partial 16S ribosomal RNA". It matches the Rfam family "Bacterial small subunit ribosomal RNA", at positions 524 to 776 of the family's 1533-position model. The record is from RNAcentral.
UACGGGGGGAGCAAGCGUUGUUCGGAUUUACUGGGCGUAAAGGGCGCGUAGGCGGCGCAACAAGUCACUUGUGAAAUCUCCGGGCUUAACCCGGAGCGGCCAAGUGAUACUGUCGUGCUAGAGUGCGGAAGGGGCUACUGGAAUUCUCGGUGUAGCGGUGAAAUGCGUAGAUAUCGAGAGGAACACCGGUGGCGAAGGCGGCAUCCUGGACCGACAUUGACGCUGAGGCGCGAAAGCCAGGGGAGCAAACGGG